RNAcentral lists this transfer RNA (72 nucleotides) under Camelus bactrianus (Bactrian camel). It matches the Rfam family "tRNA". Rfam says of the family: Transfer RNA (tRNA) molecules are approximately 80 nucleotides in length. Their secondary structure includes four short double-helical elements and three loops (D, anti-codon, and T loops). Lineage: Eukaryota; Metazoa; Chordata; Mammalia; Artiodactyla; Camelidae. The record is from Rfam by way of RNAcentral. RNAcentral also lists the same sequence under 1 other name.
GGGGGCGUAGUUCAACGGUGGAGCACGUGCCUAGCAUGCAGGAGGUCCUGGGUUCAAUCCCCAGUACCUUCA